RNAcentral lists this ribosomal RNA (2275 nucleotides) under Tanaopsis japonica. Its description in RNAcentral is "partial 18S ribosomal RNA". It matches the Rfam family "Eukaryotic small subunit ribosomal RNA". Lineage: Eukaryota; Metazoa; Arthropoda; Malacostraca; Tanaidacea; Tanaopsidae. The record is from RNAcentral.
AUUAAAUCAGUCUUUAUCCGUUGGACCUAAAUGAACCCACAUAAGUGUCCUUACUCGGAUAACUGUGGAAAUUCUAGAGCUAAUACAUGCCACGAGUUCCCAAAGUGUUGCGAGAGCAAUGCGAGUAGGACGCAAUUAUUAGAUCCAAAUAUCGUACCCGGUUGCGCGUUUACGUGUGGCUUAUAUCGGUGCAUUAUUUUGGUGAAUCUGGAUAAACCACAUACAAAGCUGAGCGUUUAGGCCUUGUGCCGGCGCCAGACCUUUGAAGUGUCUGCCCUAUCAGCUAGAUUGUAGAUUAAAUGUCUACAAUGGCUAUAACGGGUAACGGGGAAUCAGGGUUCGAUUCCGGAGAGGGAGCCUGAGAAACGGCUACCACAUCUAAGGAAGGCAGCAGGCACGCAAAUUGCUCAAUCUCUGCUCAAGGAAGCAGUGACAAAAUAUCUUGAUGCGGGACUCUUCCGAGGCCUCGCAAUCAGGAUGCGUUUAUUUUAAAGCAGUAAGCUGAACGCAAUUGGAGGGCAAGUCUGGUGCCAGCAGCCGCGGUAAUUCCAGCUCCAAUAGCGUACGUUUAAGUUGCUGCGGUUAAAAAGCUCGUAGUUGGACUUUACAACUCGGGCAGCUUAGCACCUCUUUUGCAUACGAAGCGUUUGCAUUGUGGGCGUACGCAUCUACACGUAAUUGUAUAUGCCUUUAUUGGUGUGUAUGGUUGUCGUGCUGAGUUGAUGUUGUGCAAACACCUUUGCGAUUUGUUUCACGCAUUAGAGUUCAAUACUAGGCUGUGACCGAGUGUAUAUUGAGCUCGUCGGCCUUUUGCGCAUGUCGUUGGUUAUACUAAUCCCUAUGCUGGAACACGAAUUCGCAGUGCGUAUUGUGCACGACGGAAAGGAGUCUGCAUUCGGCAAAAUGACAUGAUGCUGCGGUGCCAUUAACUUGGUGGCCGUUUGUGUUAGAGUGUGGAGUCGCUAUGUAGACAUUGAUCGUGUAUGUGCGUGUCUGACGAUACGUUGUAUUAGUUCUAUGUCAUUUGUGAUUGGUAUAAUAUGCCAUCGUCUCAUGUGUAAUGUUAAUGGUCGAAGUCUCGAGAUCACUUUGAUAAAAUUAGAGUGCUCAAAGCGGGUUCUCAUUGCAAAAUUGCCUGAAUGGUAGUGCAUGGAAUGAUGAAAGAAGAUCUCGGCCUCGAAACCACGCACCGAGUGUGAUGGGUACGUUAGAGGCUCGAGAUAAUGAUUAAAGGGAACUGCCGGGGGCGUUUGUAUUACGGCGCUAGAGGUGAAAUUCUUGGACCGUCGUAAGACAACCUACUGCGAAAGCAUUCGCCAAGAAUGUUUUCAUUAAUCAAGAACGAAAGUUAGAGUUUAGAAGGAGAUCAGAUACCUCCCUAUUUCUAACCGUAAACAAUGCUAACCGGUUGUCCGUCGAAAGUCAAUUCUUUCGAGACUGGACGCGCGACCCCCGGGGAAACCAGAGUUUCUGAGUUCCGGGGGAAGUAUGGUUGCAAAGCUGAAACUUAAAGGAAUUGACGGAAGGGCACCACCAGGAGUGGAGCCUGCGGCUUAAUUUGACUCAACACGGGAAACCUCACCAGGCCCAGAAACAUUUAGGAUUGACAGAUUGAAAGCUCUUUCAUAAUUAUGAGGAUGGUGGUGCAUGGCCGUUCUUAGUUGGUGGAGCGAUCUGUCUGGUUAAUUCCGAUAACGAACGAGAUUCUCGUUUACUAAAUAGAAGGUAGACCGUAACCUGCGUGUUAGUGUUCGGCUCGUUGUGGUGAUCAUGUCAAUAGGGCAGCGUUCGCUUGGAUGGGAGGAAUGGCGUAAGCUGCUCCAAAGAUAAAAGUGAUUUUGGCUGUUAGGCGUGUAUUGUCCGAUGUAGUUCGACCUAUCGGCGGGUAGUCUACCUAUGUCUUCUUAGAAAGAUUAAAGGUGCUCUAAUCAGUUGACAGUAAGAGCAAUAACAGGUCUGUGAUGCCCUUAGAUGUUCUGGGCCGCACGCGCGCUACAAUGCUCGGUGCAACGCGAGUCCUUCUCUCCCAACAGAGUGGGUAAUCGGUAUCAAAUCCGAGCCUACUUGGGAUUGGGGCUUGCAAAUAUUUCCCAUGAACGAGGAAUUCCUAGUAAGCAUUGACUCAUUGAAGUCGUGCUGAUUAAGUCCCUGCCCUUUGUACACACCGCCCGUCGCUACUACCGAUUGAAUGAUUCAGUGAGAGCAUUGGACUGGCGCCCUAAUGGUUCGCCAUUAAAAGGGCUGACGGGAAGAUGUUCAAACUUGAUUAUUUAGA